AGAGUUGAGUCCUGCUCAGGACAACGCUGGCGGCGUGCUUAACACAUGCAAGUCGAACGAUGAAGCCUAGCUUGCUAGGUGGAUUAGUGGCGAACGGGUGAGUAAUACGUGAGUAACCUACCUUUAACUCUGGGAUAAGCCUGGGAAACUGGGUCUAAUACCGGAUACGACCAAUCUCCGCAUGGGGUGUUGGUGGAAAGCGUUAUGUAGUGGUUAUAGAUGGGCUCACGGCCUAUCAGCUUGUUGGUGAGGUAACGGCUCACCAAGGCGACGACGGGUAGCCGGCCUGAGAGGGUGACCGGCCACACUGGGACUGAGACACGGCCCAGACUCCUACGGGAGGCAGCAGUGGGGAAUAUUGCACAAUGGGCGCAAGCCUGAUGCAGCGACGCUGCGUGAGGGAUGACGGCCUUCGGGUUGUAAACCUCUGUUAGCAGGGAAGAAGAGAGAUUGACGGUACCUGCAGAGAAAGCGCCGGCUAACUACGUG
This 489-nucleotide ribosomal RNA is filed under the name uncultured Rothia sp. Its description in RNAcentral is "bacterial SSU rRNA". It matches the Rfam family "Bacterial small subunit ribosomal RNA", at positions 1 to 507 of the family's 1533-position model. The record is from RNAcentral. Lineage: Bacteria; Bacillati; Actinomycetota; Actinomycetes; Micrococcales; Micrococcaceae.